AUACGUAGGGGGCGAGCGUUGUCCGGAAUGAUUGGGCGUAAGGGCGCGUAGGCAGCCUGUUAAGUCUGGAGUGAAAGUCCUGUUUUCAAGAUGGGAAUUGCUUUGGAUACUGAUGGGCUUGAGUGCAGGAGAGGUUAUCGGAAUUCCCGGUGUAGCGGUGAAAUGCGUAGAGAUCGGGAGGAACACCAGUGGCGAAGGCGGGUAACUGGACUGCAACUGACGCUGAGGCGCGAAAGUGUGGGGAGCAAACAGGAUUAGAUACCCUGGUAGUCCACACUGUAAACGAUGAAUGCUAGGUGUAAGAGGUAUCGACCCCUUUUGUGCCGGAGUUAACACAAUAAGCAUUCCGCCUGGGGAGUACGGCCGCAAGGUUGAAACUCAAAGGAAUUGACGGGG
RNAcentral lists this ribosomal RNA (396 nucleotides) under uncultured bacterium. RNAcentral's name for it is "partial 16S ribosomal RNA". It matches the Rfam family "Bacterial small subunit ribosomal RNA", at positions 523 to 918 of the family's 1533-position model. The record is from RNAcentral.